AACGAACGCUGGCGGCAUGCCUAACACAUGCAAGUCGAACGGCAGCACGGGAGCAAUCCUGGUGGCGAGUGGCGAACGGGUGAGUAAUAUAUCGGAACGUGCCCAGUCGUGGGGAUAACGUAGCGAAAGUUACGCUAAUACCGCAUACGAUCUAAGGAUGAAAGCGGGGGAUCGCAAGACCUCGCGCGAUUGGAGCGGCCGAUAUCAGAUUAGGUAGUUGGUGAGGUAAUGGCUCACCAAGGCGACGAUCCGUAACUGGUCUGAGAGGAUGAUCAGUCACACUGGAACUGAGACACGGUCCAGACUCCUACGGGAGGCAGCAGUGGGGAANAUUGGACAAUGGGCGAAAGCCUGAUCCAGCCAUGCCGCGUGUGUGAAGAAGGUCUUCGGAUUGUAAAGC
RNAcentral lists this ribosomal RNA (400 nucleotides) under uncultured bacterium. RNAcentral's name for it is "bacterial SSU rRNA". It matches the Rfam family "Bacterial small subunit ribosomal RNA", at positions 29 to 431 of the family's 1533-position model. The record is from RNAcentral.